CCUACGGGAGGCAGCAGUGGGGGAUAUUGCACAAUGGGGGAAACCCUGAUGCAGCGACGCCGCGUGAGUGAAGAAGUAUUUCGGUAUGUAAAGCUCUAUCAGCAGGGAAGAAAAUGACAGUACCUGACCAAGAAGCCCCGGCUAACUCCGUGCCAGCAGCCGCGGUAAUACGUAGGGGGCAAGCGUUAUCCGGAUUUACUGGGCGUAAAGGGAGCGUAGACGGUCAUGUAAGUCGGGAGUGAAAGCCCGGGGCUCAACCCCGGGACUGCUUUGGAAACUGUGUAACUGGAGUACAGGAGGGGCAGGCGGAAUUCCUGGUGUAGCGGUGAAAUGCGUAGAUAUCAGGAGGAACACCGGCGGCGAAGGCGGCCUACUGGACUGAAACUGACGUUGAGGCACGAAAGCGUGGGGAGCAAACAGGAUUAGAUACCCCUGUAGUC
This 440-nucleotide ribosomal RNA is filed under the name uncultured bacterium. RNAcentral describes it as "partial 16S ribosomal RNA". It matches the Rfam family "Bacterial small subunit ribosomal RNA", at positions 338 to 795 of the family's 1533-position model. The record is from RNAcentral.